Molecule: ribosomal RNA, 497 nt
Filed under: uncultured bacterium
Lineage: Bacteria
Description: partial 16S ribosomal RNA
Rfam family: Bacterial small subunit ribosomal RNA
Source: RNAcentral
GAUGAACGCUGGCGGCGUGCCUAAUACAUGCAAGUCGAGCGAACGGACGAGAAGCUUGCUUUUCUGAUGUUAGCGGCGGACGGGUGAUUAACACGUGGAUAACCUACCUAUAAGACUGGGAUAACUUCGUGAAACCGGAGCUAAUACCGGAUAAUAUUUUGAACCGCAUGGUUCAAAAGUGAAAGACGGUCUUGCUGUCACUUAUAGAUGGAUCCGCGCUGCAUUAGCUAGUUGGUAAGGUAAAGGCUUACCAAGGCAACGAUGCAUAGCCGACCUGAGAGGGUGAUCGGCCACACUGGAACUGAGACACGGUCCAGACUCCUACGGGAGGCAGCAGUAGGGAAUCUUCCGCAAUGGGCGAAAGCCUGACGGAGCAACGCCGCGUGAGUGAUGAAGGUCUUCGGAUCGUAAAACUCUGUUAGUAGGGAAGAACAUAUGUGUAAGUAACUGUGCACAUCUUGACGGUACCUAAUCAGAAAGCCACGGCUAACUACGUG